Long non-coding RNA from Podarcis raffonei (Aeolian wall lizard), 2217 nucleotides. RefSeq lists it as uncharacterized. The record is from RefSeq and is a predicted model, not a curated record. The transcript has 4 exons. NCBI's taxonomy places the organism in Eukaryota, Metazoa, Chordata, Lepidosauria, Squamata, Lacertidae.
CUUGGAUCAGACCAACGGACCAUGUACUCUAGCAUCCUGUUCUCACAGCAGCCAACCAAAUGACUGUGGGAAAACCACAAGUAGGAUUCGAACGCAGGAGCCCUAAGACAUUUUUCAGAAGUCUAUAACUGCUAUAACAGAACAGAACCACCACAGAAAUGGCAAUAAGCAUCUCUUUUUAUUUACAGCCAUAAGUUUCACACAACUUCUUCUUGAUAGUCACAAGAAUUAAAAUGUCCUAUUAAUGUUUUUGUUUAAUUUUUUAGGAAUGCAGAUAUAUGGAAGCAUGGAUAGAACAAGUUUACUCUGUAGCAUUUGUUUUUGACGUUUGAGAGCCGAAAUGUUCGGCAACUAAGCCAUUCAAUAUCCAAGAUGAAAUGAUCCAACCGUAGGAGCCCACCAGGUCUUUUAGCACUCUGGUGACCAGUGAGCCAGCAGAGGAAGGUGUCACAAUGGCUUCUGUAAAUCUGGGGCUGUCUCUUGCAAAGAGGGACACUUGGCAGGUCUGCUGAGGUGCCCAGAUGGGAGACCGCCAGGGAACCCAUGAUAUGGUGCUUAGAAUUAUACAGACAAAAUGUACUAUGUAAAUACAUACAUAUAUAUAUAUAGACACACUGUCCUUUUUGUCUUUUCUCAUGCAAUAAUAUUUCACUAAGUCAGAAAGAGGCCUUCUGCUCAUGAAAGGGCACCUGUGGACCUAAGCCUCCAAAAUAGCUCUACUUGGGAGUAAUUUUUUCUGACCCCAGUGGAAAUUAGUUCCUAGUGAGAAUGCUUGGGAUUGUGGUAUAAGGAACAUGACCUGACACUGCUGCCAAGAAAGGGGAUAGCUAGCUUUAUUCAAGUUUGCCACGUGUUGGGGGGCUCUAAGAAGAAUCCCAUGCUUGGGUGGUACAUCAAGAAAGAUUUCAAAAAUGUGUGUGGCACGGUGAGAGAGAAGAGAAGAGUUGUGUCAUUCACACAUUAUUAAGAAUGCCACACACAUGAGCCCUUAGACACCUCUGGAAGUUGUGCACAAUGGCUUCCACAUCUUGCUGGGCUACACAGCUCCCACCAUGAGUGCACGCAGCAAAUGGGACUGUGAACAUCAGGAUUCAGCCUACGCAGUUGUCCUCAGCAACAAAAGUUACCGGGGCACAUUCUUCGUUUUUAUACUUCAUUCCAAAUCUGGGAUUCAGUGCAGGAGAUUUCAGUAUCUUUGACUUGAGAAUACCAUUUCCUCAUGGCCAUUCCUUGGUGGCUUUCUGGGAUGACAGUUUUAGACAGGAAAUUGGAUGGGCUGGGUUUUUUCUUUGUUUGUUUUUUUUUGACAUUUUAAAGGUUUGUAAUGGUGGUUUUAAUAUGUAAACUGUUUAAAAAAAACAGCCUCCAACAUUUUCCCAAUAAAAAUAGGGACGUCCCAUUCCAUAAUGAUAAUUUUACUCUUUAUACCCCACACAUAUUACUGGGUUGCCCCAGCCACUCUGGACAGCUUCCAACAUAUAUAAAAACAUAAUAAAAUAUUAAACUUUUUUUAAAAAAACCCUUCCCUAUACAGGAUUGCCUUCAGACGGCUCAGGGGUUGGAUAACUCCAUACACUCCUACAUUUCUCCAAUAAAAAUAGAGAUAUUCUAAGGAAAGGUGGGACUUUCUGGGAUCAAAUCAGAAACCAGGAUGGCUUCUCUAAAUCAGGGACAUCCCUGGAAAAUAGGGACACUUGGAGGGUCUGAAAAAUGUGUAUUGUUUCAACUCUGUGUGAACCACCCAGAGAGAACUUUGCUGACUCGGCAGUCAAUAAAGGUAUACAUAAAUACCGUAAGUGCAUGAAAAGAAUCCACCUGGAAACAUUAAGAACAGUUUCUGUCAGGCAUGUCUUCAUAAAUUACUCUUAAAAAAACCAAACCUAUGCAUACGUUUUCCUCAAUCUGUAGAUAAUGUAAUGGCAUUUCUCAACUAACCCAUUUAUUGACCUAGAAAGUUCCCAGAUCUUCCAUAUUAUGCCCAAAGACACAAAGGAAAAAAGGGGUUUUCAGCCCUGUCCUGUUUAGGAAUUAAUAAUAGCUGCAGAAAGGAUUAAAUGACUUAAGAGAGGGAGGCCUCCCUUUUGGUGAAAUGUCCUUUGGGCCUAUUCCAACAUAAGCCAUGCUUUCUUCUUUUGUUUACCCGCACAUAAAUGAAGCCGUAACUGGUAGCAGACACUGCACAGUCCAGCUGAUGACUGAUGGGCGGAAGAGAUCUGG